UCUUGGUCCAUUUAGAGGAAGUAAAAGUCGUAACAAGGUCUCCGUAGGUGAACCUGCGGAGGGAUCAUUACAGAGUUCAUGCCCUUGCGGGUAGAUCUCCCACCCUGUGUUAUUAUUACCUUUGUUGCUUUGGCGGGCCGCCCGGCUUCGGCCAGGCUACCGGCUCCGGCUGGUAAGCGCCCGCCAGAGGACCCAAAACCCUGAAUGUUAGUGUCGUCUGAGUACUAUAUAAUAGUUAAAACUUUCAACAACGGAUCUCUUGGUUCUGGCAUCGAUGAAGAACGCAGCGAAAUGCGAUAAGUAAUGUGAAUUGCAGAAUUCAGUGAAUCAUCGAAUCUUUGAACGCACAUUGCGCCCCUUGGUAUUCCGAGGGGCAUGCCUGUUCGAGCGUCAUUACAACCCUCAAGCAAUGCUUGGUAUUGGGCCCCGCCGCUCACCCGGCGGGCUCUAAAAUCAGUGGCGGUGCCGUCGGGCUCUGAGCGUAGUAAUUCUUCUCGCUAUAGGGUCCCGGUGGAUGCUGGCCAACAACCCCCAAUUUU
This 539-nucleotide ribosomal RNA is filed under the name Leptodontidium elatius. RNAcentral describes it as "eukaryotic LSU rRNA". The stretch from base 240 to 393 matches the Rfam family "5.8S ribosomal RNA". Lineage: Eukaryota; Fungi; Ascomycota; Leotiomycetes; Helotiales; Leptodontidiaceae. The record is from RNAcentral.